UCUCUUGUAGCUCAGUUGGUAAAGAAUCUGCCUGUAAUACAGAAGACCUGGGUUCGAUUCCUGGGUUGGGAA
RNAcentral lists this transfer RNA (72 nucleotides) under Bos taurus (domestic cattle). It matches the Rfam family "tRNA". From Rfam's summary of the family: Transfer RNA (tRNA) molecules are approximately 80 nucleotides in length. The record is from Rfam by way of RNAcentral. Lineage: Eukaryota; Metazoa; Chordata; Mammalia; Artiodactyla; Bovidae. RNAcentral also lists the same sequence under 4 other names.